Molecule: ribosomal RNA, 1060 nt
Filed under: Allocosa brasiliensis
Lineage: Eukaryota; Metazoa; Arthropoda; Arachnida; Araneae; Lycosidae
Description: SSU rRNA
Rfam family: Eukaryotic small subunit ribosomal RNA
Source: RNAcentral
UGCCCGUUCUGAACAGCCAGCCGGUUUCUCUUGAUGAUCUUCACCGGUUGUCUCGGGUGACCGGCAAGUUUACUUUGAAAAAAUUAGAGUGCUCAAAGCAGGCGCGACGCCUGAAUAAUGGUGCAUGGAAUAAUGGAAUAGGACCUCGGUUCUAUUUUGUUGGUUUUCGGAACACGAGGUAAUGAUUAAGAGGGACAGACGGGGGCAUUCGUAUUGCGACGCUAGAGGUGAAAUUCUUGGACCGUCGCAAGACGAACUACUGCGAAAGCAUUUGCCAAGAAUGUUUCCAUUAAUCAAGAACGAAAGUUAGAGGUGCGAAGGCGAUCAGAUACCGCCCUAGUUCUAACCAUAAACGAUGCCAGCCAGCGAUCCGUCUGUGUUCUUCCAAUGAUACGACGGGCAGCUUCCGGGAAACCAAAGCUUUUGGGUUCCGGGGGAAGUAUGGUUGCAAAGCUGAAACUUAAAGGAAUUGACGGAAGGGCACCACCAGGAAUGGAGCCUGCGGCUUAAUUUGACUCAACACGCGAAAACUUACCCGGCCCGGACACAGGAAGGAUUGACAGAUUAAGAGCUCUUUCUUGAUUCUGUGGGUGGUGGUGCAUGGCCGUUCUUAGUUGGUGGAUUGAUUUGUCUGGUUAAUUCCGAUAACGAACGAGACUCUAGCCUACUAAAUAGACGUUCCGAUCAUCUGCGUCGGACGUUCUUCUUAGAGGGACAAGCGGCGUUUAGCCGCACGAGACAGAGCAAUAACAGGUCUGUGAUGCCCUUAGAUGUCCGGGGCCGCACGCGCGCUACAUUGAAGGAAUCAGCGUGUGCUUUCCCGGUCCGACAGGACUGGGUAACCCGUUGAAUCUCCUUCGUGCUGGGGAUAGGAGCUUGUAAUUAUUUUCCUUGAACGAGGAAUUCCCAGUAAGCGCGAGUCAUCAGCUCGCGUUGAUUACGUCCCUGCCCUUUGUCCGCCCGUCGCUACUACCGAUUGAAUGAUUUAAUGAGGGCUUCGGACUGGAAAGUUUUCGGAUCUUCCCGAAAAAUGACCAACUUGUUCUUUUAAGGAAGAAAA